UACAGAGGUCUCAAGCGUUGUUCGGAUUCAUUGGGCGUAAAGGGCGCGUAGGCGGCGGGGUAAGUCGGGUGUGAAAUCUCAGAGCUCAACUCUGAAACUGCACUCGAUACUGCUCUGCUUGAGGACUGGAGAGGAGACUGUAAUUCACGGUGUAGCAGUGAAAUGCGUAGAUAUCAGGAGGAACACCGAUGGCGAAGGCAGGUCUCUGGGCUGACACUGACGCUCAUGCACGAAAGCGUGGGGAGCAAACAGG
Molecule: ribosomal RNA, 253 nt
Filed under: uncultured bacterium
Lineage: Bacteria
Description: partial 16S ribosomal RNA
Rfam family: Bacterial small subunit ribosomal RNA
Source: RNAcentral